CAGCCGCCGCGGUAAUACGUAGGGGGCGAGCGUUGUCCGGAAUUACUGGGCGUAAAGGGUGCGUAGGCGGCCCUUUAAGUCAGAUGUGAAAGCCCGCAGCUUAACUGCGGAAUUGCAUUUGAAACUGGAGGGCUUGAGUGUCGGAGAGGGUAGUGGAAUUCCCAGUGUAGCGGUGAAAUGCGUAGAUAUUGGGAGGAACACCAGUGGCGAAGGCGACUGCCUGGACGAUAACUGACGCUGAGGCACGAAAGCUAGGGGAGCAAACAGGAUUAGAUACCCUGGUAGUCCUAGCCGUAAACGAUGGGUACUAGGUGUAGGUGGUUUCGAUACCAUCUGUGCCGUAGUUAACGCAUUAAGUACCCCGCCUGGGGAGUACGUGCGCAAGCAUGAAACUCAAAGGAAUUGACGGGGGCCCGCACAAGCGGUGGAGCAUGUGGUUUAAUUCGAAGCAACGCGAAGAACCUUACCAGGUCUUGACAUCCCUGGACAGCUGUGGAAACACAGUUUCCCUUCGGGGCCAGGAGACAGGUGGUGCAUGGCC
This 541-nucleotide ribosomal RNA is filed under the name uncultured archaeon. Its description in RNAcentral is "bacterial SSU rRNA". It matches the Rfam family "Bacterial small subunit ribosomal RNA", at positions 509 to 1050 of the family's 1533-position model. The record is from RNAcentral.